GUACUCACUUCUGCAGCACAUGUACUAAAAUAUGACACAGAGAACAUCAGCAUGCCCCCUGCUCAAGGAUAACACACAAAUUUGUGAAGUAUUCCAUAUUAUA
Molecule: small nuclear RNA, 103 nt
Organism: Erinaceus europaeus (western European hedgehog)
Lineage: Eukaryota; Metazoa; Chordata; Mammalia; Eulipotyphla; Erinaceidae
Source: Ensembl